GCGUAAGCGCGCGUAGGCCGUUGAGUUAGUUAAUUGUGAAAUCCCAAAGCUUAACUUUGGAACUGCAAUUAAAACUGCUCGACUAGAGUUUGAUAGAGGAAAGCGGAAUACAUAGUGUAGAGGUGAAAUUCGUAGAUAUUAUGUAGAACACCAGUUGCGAAGGCGGCUUUCUGGAUCAACACUGACGCUGAGGCGCGAAAGUAUGGGUAGCAAAGAGGAUUAGAUACCCUCGUAGUCCAUACCAUAAACGAUGAUUGCUAGAUGUUGGAAAUUUAUUUUCAGUAUCGCAGCUAACGCAUUAAGCAAUCCGCCUGGGGAGUACGACCGCAAGGUUAAAACUCAAAUGAAUUGACGGGGACCCGCACAAGCGGUGGAGCAUGUGGUUUAAUUCGAAGAUACGCGCAGAACCUUACCAACCCUUGACAUGUCUGUCGCGAGUUUAGGAAACUAGACUUUUCGGUUCGGCCGGACAGAACACAGGUGCUGCAUGGCUGUCGUCAGCUCGUGUCGUGAGAUGUUGGGUUAAGUCCCGCAACGAGCGCAACCCCUACUUUUAGUUGCCAUCAGGUCAUGCUGGGCACUCUGAAAGAACUGCCAGUGAUAAGCUGGAGGAAGGUGGGGAUGACGUCAAGUCCUCAUGCCCCUUAUGUCCAGGGCUGC
This 660-nucleotide ribosomal RNA is filed under the name uncultured Pelagibacterales bacterium. RNAcentral's name for it is "bacterial SSU rRNA". It matches the Rfam family "Bacterial small subunit ribosomal RNA", at positions 558 to 1217 of the family's 1533-position model. The record is from RNAcentral. Lineage: Bacteria; Pseudomonadati; Pseudomonadota; Alphaproteobacteria; Candidatus Pelagibacterales.